GUGCUCCCUUUAGCAGCACAUAUACAAAAGCUGGAAUGACACAGAGAAGAUCUGCAUGUUCCCUGCAGAACAGAAACAGAUUUACAGACGUUGACAACAGACUU
Molecule: small nuclear RNA, 104 nt
Filed under: Catagonus wagneri (Chacoan peccary)
Lineage: Eukaryota; Metazoa; Chordata; Mammalia; Artiodactyla; Tayassuidae
Source: RNAcentral